Molecule: ribosomal RNA, 253 nt
Filed under: uncultured bacterium
Lineage: Bacteria
Description: partial 16S ribosomal RNA
Rfam family: Bacterial small subunit ribosomal RNA
Source: RNAcentral
UACGAAGGGGGCUAGCGUUGCUCGGAAUUACUGGGCGUAAAGCGCACGUAGGCGGAUCUUUAAGUCAGGGGUGAAAUCCUGGAGCUCAACUCCAGAACUGCCUUUGAUACUGGAAAGCUUGAGUUCGGGAGAGGUGAGUGGAACUGCGAGUGUAGAGGUGAAAUUCGUAGAUAUUCGCAAGAACACCAGUGGCGAAGGCGGCUCACUGGCCCGAUACUGACGCUGAGGUGCGAAAGCGUGGGGAGCAAACAGG